GUCAUUUCCUGUUAUUCUUUUCGCUCCCUCCUCCCUCUGGCGUGGUUUUGCUCACGGUCUGUUUUUGGGGCGUGCCUGCUUCCUCUCUGUCAGGUACAGAAAGAAGGCUGCUCUGUGGGCCCUGGGAAGCUGUCAGUGCUUCAGGAUCAAGUCUCCCAUUCUCUGGCCUUCAAGAAUUUCUCUACGGCUCUUCUAAAACAUCUUCUCCCAUUGGACAUCUAGACCCAGGAGCCAUCUCAGAAUCAUCUCGGCCAGGGCCAGUGUAGCAGGUAAAGCUGCCACCUGCAGUGCCAGCAUCCCAUAUGGGUGCCGGUUCGAGUCCUGGCUGCUCCACUUCCAAUCCAGCUCUCUGCUAUGGCCUGGGGAAGCAGUAGAAGAUGGCCCAAGAGUUGUUGGGCUCCUGCACCCAUGUGGGAAAUCAGGAAGAAGCUCCUGGCUUUGGAUCAGCACAGCUUCAGCCAUUGCAGCCAUCUGGGGGAAUGAACCAGUGGACUGGGAAAAAAAAAGAAAAAAAUAAUCUUGGCCUAGAGAUGCCCCUCCCUGCAGACCAAGGCUCCAAACAAAAUGCAUCCUGGGGCUGACCUCAGAGAAUCCAGGACACUCACCAUGGGCUCGCUGACCCAAACAACCAGGGGUGGGGGGCACCCUCCUGCUCAGUUCUCAGCCUGGAAACCUGAAUUUCCAAGCCCCCUGGUGCUAAUGCGGAGCCCAGAGCCACUAGCUUAGGCUCUUCUGGAGUCCACAUUCCCUUACUAAUGCCAAGUCCCAACAGAGGGGACAUGAAGCAGAGCCCUCCUCACCCCUGCCCAGCAUGGCAACGAACGACUCCUGGAACAGUGCCUCACUCUUUCCACAUGACCCAGUGCAAGCGAGAGCCAGCCAGCCUGGAGAAAGUCCGAGGACUUGUCAGGAUCACCUGGGUAUUCCCAAGAAAGUACCCCACACGGCAGACAUGGUGUAAACCUGCCAGCAGACUCUGCAGGUCACGUGGACUGGAAUCACCUAAUAAGCAGACUUCCAGAGUGGGCAGAGAGCUGCUGGCCCUGGUGCCAGGGACAGGACUUGUGCCAGCAAUUCUGUGUGUUUGAUCUGCAGUACAGUGUGGGUUUCCAGUAAAGCAAAGGUGUGUGUGGAGGCUGAAUGGUCUAAUGCUCUCUCCACUCCAGAAUCCAUACAGAUAAUGUUGGGGGGAGGGGUGGAGGUGUCCAUGUUGCAGGGCAUCGGAUGCCUCGGACUCUGGGCAUCACUUAAGAGAGGAGGGUGAGAGGCUCCCAGUGGGGAGGGAGAGGACCUGAGUCCUGGCCCUGCCUGCUGCCUGCCUGGGCCAAGUGAGUCACUUGACCUUGGACUGGUUAACUGACUGUUGGAAGCGUUCAUUCCAUUUUGCAAUUUUCUCUAAUAAGAACACUACCAAUUAGAUAAAGCUGGCUAAAAUGAACUAGAGAUUUAAAGUAGAAUUUAGAACAAGCCUGGUUCCUAUUUAUUAUUUUUUCUCAUUUGAAAGUAAUAGUUGUUCAAAAUGGGGGGAAAAAAGAAGAAACAGUCCAACCAAGCAAAAAGUGGUUCUACAGAACACCCAUAAUUCCACCCACCCAGACUGGGCUGUUUGUACUCUGCUGAGGUCUUUCCAGAUAAGGGGUUCUUCUUGGGGGA
Lepus europaeus (European hare) is the source of this 1653-nucleotide long non-coding RNA. RefSeq lists it as uncharacterized. The record is from RefSeq and is a predicted model, not a curated record. NCBI's taxonomy places the organism in Eukaryota, Metazoa, Chordata, Mammalia, Lagomorpha, Leporidae. The transcript has 2 exons.